AUACUUACCUGGCAGGACAGACAGCAGGACCGCGAAGGUGGUUUUCCCAGGGAGAUGCUCAUCCAUUGCACUAUGGCUGUGCUGACUUCUGUGAUUUCCCCAAAUAUGGGAAACUCAACUGCACAAUCUGUGGUAGUGUGGGAAUGUGUCUGCACUUUCCCCUG
Small nuclear RNA from Echinops telfairi (small Madagascar hedgehog), 164 nucleotides. Its record names the gene U1. It matches the Rfam family "U1 spliceosomal RNA". Rfam says of the family: U1 is a small nuclear RNA (snRNA) component of the spliceosome (involved in pre-mRNA splicing). Its 5' end forms complementary base pairs with the 5' splice junction, thus defining the 5' donor site of an intron. Lineage: Eukaryota; Metazoa; Chordata; Mammalia; Afrosoricida; Tenrecidae. The record is from Ensembl.